RNAcentral lists this ribosomal RNA (301 nucleotides) under uncultured bacterium. RNAcentral describes it as "partial 16S ribosomal RNA". It matches the Rfam family "Bacterial small subunit ribosomal RNA", at positions 509 to 807 of the family's 1533-position model. The record is from RNAcentral.
CAGCCGCCACGGUAAUACGUAGGUGGCAAGCGUUAUCCGGAAUUAUUGGGCGUAAAGCGCGCGUAGGCGGUUUUUUAAGUCUGAUGUGCAAGCCCACGGCUCAACCGUGGAGGGUCAUUGGAAACUGGAGAACUUGAGUGCAGAAGAGGAAAGUGGAAUUCCAUGUGUAGCGGUGAAAUGCGCAGAGAUAUGGAGGAACACCAGUGGCGAAGGCGACUUUCUGGUCUGUAACUGACGCUGAUGUGCGAAAGCGUGGGGAUCAAACAGGAUUAGAUACCCCAGUAGUCCCUGUCUCUUAUAC